GAUCAUAUUCACGUUGCAAAGUGUGUUGUCAUCUAGCUGGACUGUAUUGAACAGCUGACUGUCGGCUUUGAGACAAGAUCGCAGUCGCGCGCCGAAGCGUUGAUACGUUUGUCGAAAGAUGCGAUAUCAUGUUUAAUACUUCGGCUGAUUCAUUAAUUCGGAAAAGAAUUAAAGCGCACGGAUGUUCGGAAAAAUUAAGUCGUGCCUUCUCGGGCUCUUCACGACUCGUGACAUGUGUAUAAUACUGACUGCAGGUUCAUUCGUGGGCUUACUAUUAGUGUCUGUAACAUUUAUUCGUGAAACAUAAACACGGCGGUAAGCUGAGUUGACCGUGGGUUGAGUCAUGUAAAUACGAAUCUUCUACAUCACUUCAAAGAGGUGUGUGUCGCGACAUAUUUGGAAUGAAGGAGCCGAGCGUACAGCAAUGUUUUUCCAGCGUUACUAAGCCCUGCCAAGAUCAGGCUUCGGCCAACGGAUCUUCUCCUACGCCAUACAGCAAAUACAACUAAAAUAAUAAAAUGAUGCCACAUAUUUUUAAAAGUAUGUAGAUCAUUAGUUAGGUUGAAUAAAACAAUGUAACUAUAUAUAUUUUUACAUGAUUAUUGCUCAAGUCGAUGUCGUUGUUAUAAAACUGUGGAUUUGUAAACAAGAAAUUUUGUUACAAAUUGUGUACAGUUAAUUUCUUUUUUGACUCUACGGAAGAAAUCGAUAUUUCAAUUUCCAAUAAUGUAUCUAUUUUGUUAUUAUGUACACAAUCACGAAGCUAGAGUUGUUUUCUUUUUAUUCACUAUUUUAAUACUAUUUUAUAACUAUUGUAAAUUCUAUGAUAUUGUUUUAAUAUGAGAUCUAUGCUUUUAAUGGCACGAUAUUAAUUUAGCUUGAUACAACCUGCAUUGUUGGAAGAAAUGCCAAUAUAUCAUCUUACCAUAUGCCACGUACAUACAUUAUGCAUAAAAUUGUUGUUACUCUUAUCUCUCUGAGAUUAAUUGUCUAUAUAUAGAUCGAAUCGUAUUAUAUAAAUUCGUGCAGCAACGAGAUUUUUCAAUAUUAGUAACAAAAUGCGCAUGUUUACAUGUUCAAAUGUUAUGUACUUGUGUAAAUUGAAUGCGGUGCAUUAGCGGGAACGGUGCACACCGAAACACAAUAAUUUGUCGAAAAUCAUAACCUAAGACUAAUCUAUUUCAUGUAAUAUUAUACCUAGCGUGAUAAAUAUGGUAAACACAGCAACGAGCAUUCCAAUAAAUUGUGUGUUUUCAUUGUU
This 1261-nucleotide long non-coding RNA is filed under the name Neodiprion lecontei (redheaded pine sawfly). Its description in RNAcentral is "uncharacterized LOC124292880". The record is from RNAcentral. Lineage: Eukaryota; Metazoa; Arthropoda; Insecta; Hymenoptera; Diprionidae.